This 621-nucleotide long non-coding RNA is filed under the name Manihot esculenta (cassava). RNAcentral describes it as "long non-coding RNA (MESC_LNC007331)". Lineage: Eukaryota; Viridiplantae; Streptophyta; Magnoliopsida; Malpighiales; Euphorbiaceae. The record is from RNAcentral.
CUAGUCAGUUUCAAGAUUAGAUCCUCCCUCAAUUAAGUAGGAAAUUUUAUGUAUAUUGCACAUUCAAACCCUCAACAAGUGGAAGUUAUUGACAGAAAAACUGGGUAAAACCCAAAAUAAAAUUCUUGAAAUCUGUUCCUGUGUCAAAGAAAAUUGCAGUUGCAUUUACCCUAAUCCUAUAACUCCUAGCUUUCUGGUGGACUUUUGAACUCCUGGAUACCACACCACCUGACUUUUGAAGUUUCACAACAUCCACAUUGGGUUUGUUCCUUAAUACAUCUCUGAGCAUGCUAAAAAGUUUCUCCUGCAUAAAAGGAACCCAUAAAAUUUAAUAAAACAAUUGGGAAUCAAGAGAUUAAAGAAAAAAAAACAAAAUAAAAAGCAAAUUAUCACACAUGAUAGGUGUUACUUGACCCAUAUUCCUGAGAAAAAUAAGGAUAGAAUUGCCUCCAAUGACUAGUAGCAUUAGGAUUUAGGAGUAAUAACAGAGAAAGGCAAAAUUAGCCCACAAAUGUUUCAUGUGAAUAAUUUGUAGUACAACAGAAGCACAGUUUUCUCCCCUUUCUGUUGCUAAGGUGGGGCUGCAGUACACAACCCCAUAAGUAUGAUAAAAGAAUAAAG